RNAcentral lists this ribosomal RNA (256 nucleotides) under uncultured prokaryote. RNAcentral describes it as "partial 16S ribosomal RNA". It matches the Rfam family "Bacterial small subunit ribosomal RNA", at positions 521 to 776 of the family's 1533-position model. The record is from RNAcentral.
UAAGACAGAGGGUGCAAACGUUGUUCGGAAUUACUGGGCGUAAAGCGCGUGUAGGCUGCUUCGCAAGUCGGGUGUGAAAGCCCUGGGCUCAACCUAGGAAGUGCACUCGAAACUGCGGAGCUUGAGUCUCGGAGAGGAUCGCGGAAUUCUCGGUGUAGAGGUGAAAUUCGUAGAUAUCGAGAGGAACACCGGUGGCGAAGGCGGCGAUCUGGACGAUGACUGACGCUGAGACGCGAAAGCGUGGGGAGCAAACAGG